RNAcentral lists this long non-coding RNA (388 nucleotides) under Olea europaea subsp. europaea. The record is from RNAcentral. Lineage: Eukaryota; Viridiplantae; Streptophyta; Magnoliopsida; Lamiales; Oleaceae.
UCUGUUUAUAAAAUUAAAGAUUUUUUUUAAUUUCUAGAUAAUUCCACAUCAACGUCUUAACAAUCUUGUCUUUAUUCUCACUUCUCAAAUAAGCAAUGGCUAAGCAAUGGCUUUCGCUAAUUGGUGAUUGGAAUUUUUAUGGAAUUUAUUGUUAUCUAUCACGCUAAUACGGAAUUGGAUGUGGGAAUCAUGGAAAAUUGUGUCUAACGGAAUUGAUUGUGGAAUAUAGCUAUACAUUAUUUUCUAUUGUGAUUUAGUGAAAGAGGGAAACUUUGCCUAAUGGAAUUCAUUGUGUUUCAGCUGUUGAAUUAUAUGUGUUCAUUUUUUUGUUGAGUUACAUUUUGUAAUAGUUAUUAAGAGAUUUUCUAAACAGAAGUUUGUAUUUGAC